GUCUGCAGCGUGUGCGCAUGUUGGAAGGGUCUCUGUCAGGCCAGAAGGCUGCAGGGUGGAAACAAGAGAUCCCGGUGUCUUGAAGGGAGGCCUGGGAGACAUCCUGUUUCGGUCUGACUGCUCUGAAGUCACACAGUCUCUUUAUGCUGUUCAACUGUGGGUCUCUGUCAACUAUCUACUGUAAGAAGACGCUUCUUUGAUUUACCAAUGGCCUUAAUCUUUGCAAAGAUCUUAAAGAAACCAACAGUAAGAACCAUGCUCAGGGGGCUGGAGAGAUGACUCAGCACUGACUGCUCUUCCAGAGGAUCAAGGUUCAAUUCCAAGCAUUCGCAUGACAGCUCACAACUGUCUGUAGCUCCAGUUCCAGGGGAUCUGGCACUUUCAGACAUAAGUGAAAGCAAAACACCAAUGUACAUGAAAUAAAAGUAAAUAAAUCCUUAAAAAAAU
RNAcentral lists this long non-coding RNA (447 nucleotides) under Rattus norvegicus (Norway rat). Its description in RNAcentral is "long non-coding RNA NONRATT011064". Lineage: Eukaryota; Metazoa; Chordata; Mammalia; Rodentia; Muridae. The record is from RNAcentral.